Long non-coding RNA from Neopelma chrysocephalum (saffron-crested tyrant-manakin), 164 nucleotides. RefSeq lists it as uncharacterized. The transcript has 2 exons. The record is from RefSeq and is a predicted model, not a curated record. NCBI's taxonomy places the organism in Eukaryota, Metazoa, Chordata, Aves, Passeriformes, Pipridae.
CCAUGUUCUUGGUCCCCAGGUGUCCUCGCCGGUCACGAUAACCGUGUCAGCUGCUUAGGUGUGACUGAUGAUGGCAUGGCAGUGGCAACAGGAUCAUGGGACAGCUUCCUCAAGAUCUGGAACUGAAGUAGAACUCGAGGACUCCACGACUGGAAGAAGUUCCC